UUGUGUGAUACUUUACUGCACAUAGUGUUAAUCAUAUGUGAUUAGAUGUGAUUAUCACCUGUGCCAGUAGAGUAACUCAUGA
Molecule: non-coding RNA, 82 nt
Organism: Myotis davidii
Lineage: Eukaryota; Metazoa; Chordata; Mammalia; Chiroptera; Vespertilionidae
Source: Rfam